CCUACGGGUGGCUGCAGUGGGGAAUCUUCCGCAAUGGGCGCAAGCCUGACGGAGCAACGCCGCGUGAGUGAAGAAGGUCUUCGGAUCGUAAAGCUCUGUUGAUGGGGACGAACGUGCGAAGGGUGAAUAAUCCUUUGUAAUGACGGUACCUAUCGAGGAAGCCACGGCUAACUACGUGCCAGCAGCCGCGGUAAUACGUAGGUGGCGAGCGUUGUCCGGAAUCAUUGGGCGUAAAGGGAGCGCAGGCGGGCAUGUAAGUCUUUCUUAAAAGUGCGGGGCUCAACCCCGUGAUGGGAAAGAAACUAUAUGUCUUGAGUACAGGAGAGGAAAGCGGAAUUCCCAGUGUAGCGGUGAAAUGCGUAGAUAUUGGGAGGAACACCAGUGGCGAAGGCGGCUUUCUGGACUGCAACUGACGCUGAGGCUCGAAAGCCAGGGGAGCG
RNAcentral lists this ribosomal RNA (440 nucleotides) under uncultured bacterium. RNAcentral's name for it is "bacterial SSU rRNA". It matches the Rfam family "Bacterial small subunit ribosomal RNA", at positions 338 to 770 of the family's 1533-position model. The record is from RNAcentral.